RNAcentral lists this ribosomal RNA (270 nucleotides) under uncultured incertae sedis 5 bacterium. RNAcentral's name for it is "partial 16S ribosomal RNA". It matches the Rfam family "Bacterial small subunit ribosomal RNA", at positions 101 to 372 of the family's 1533-position model. The record is from RNAcentral.
AACGGGUGANUANCGCAUCGGAACGUGCCCAGUAGUGGGGGAUAGCUCGGCGAAAGCCGGAUUAAUACCGCAUUACGACCCAUGGGUGAAAGCGGGGGGACCGCAAGGCCUCGCGCUAUUGGAGCGGCCNAUGCCCGAUUAGCUAGUUGGUGAGGUAAAGGCUCACCAAGGCAACNAUCGGUAGCUGGUCUGAGAGGACAACCAGCCACACUGGGACUGAGACACGGCCCAAACUCCUACGGGAGGCAGCAGUGGGGAAUUUUGGACAAU